AAUGGUAUGGUGUAGUGGUUUGAGUGUUGGACUAUAACUCCAGAGAACAGGGUUCGAUUCGCAGCUCAGCUA
Molecule: non-coding RNA, 72 nt
Organism: Phrynosoma platyrhinos (Desert horned lizard)
Lineage: Eukaryota; Metazoa; Chordata; Lepidosauria; Squamata; Phrynosomatidae
Source: the annotation of a GenBank genome assembly